RNAcentral lists this transfer RNA (67 nucleotides) under Marmota monax (woodchuck). RNAcentral's name for it is "tRNA.Ala". The record is from RNAcentral. Lineage: Eukaryota; Metazoa; Chordata; Mammalia; Rodentia; Sciuridae.
GGUCGUGGCUAAAUGGUAGAGCGCUCGCCCAGCAUGCAUAAGGCACUGGGUUCAAUCCUCAGCACCA